GUUGGAUUUUCCAUUCAGCUCACCAAGGAGGCUGGGCUUCUCCAGAGUGUGGCCCUGUCCCUUCCUGUGGGACUGUCCUCUCUAGUCCCUGCUGGGCCCUGCUCUCUGCUUAGCAAGGGCAUCGAUGGCUUCAUAAGCACCGAACAUCAUCUGCUUUCUGCUCUUCAUUACCAAUACAGAAAAACAAACCUAAGGAGAGUCUUCCUAGUGCAAGAAAGAACGGAACAUAGCAAGUUCCCAGGGCCACACCAACCCCACACAGCAGACACAACGCGAGAGGUGACUCCACCCGGGAACCCUGUGUGGCAUGAACGUGAGUCCUCAUCCUCACGGUUGUCCCGGGCAAGCCCUGAAGUGCAGAGCAUAGGGGAGCACAGGCUAAAUGUGUGGAAUGGAGCCGGAUUAGAAGAGGAGACGCUCCUGCUAAUUCUGGACUUGCUUCCAACGCGUGCCAGCUCCCUGCUGUUGAACCUCGGCCCCGCCAGUCUUCCCCUCUGAACGUGUUUCUUCUUCUGUGAAAUAGGAGUAAUCAUGUGCUCUUCUUACCUCAUACAUCAUUGCAAGGAUUAAACUAGAUGGCACGUGUGAAAAUGCUUGUACACUCCGAAGAACCACGUGAGGCAUCGUAAGCGCUGUGAGGAUUGCUACUAUUUUGAGCCCACAGUGGGAGACUGGACCUGGGAGAAAUGGCAGAUGGCCCGGGGUUGUGGGGCAGGAGGCUGACUUGUUUGCUUAUCAGUGGAAAACACACUCUGACUCAUAUCAGAAAAGAAGCCUGGCAAACAUUAAAAAAGAAAAAAUUUGGAGAAAGCCAAUGAGCCCACAGUUGGAAUUUUGGACUGGGGUUUAGAAACAUGAGUACAGGAGGCUGACAACAUUGGAUGGAGUCCAG
Molecule: long non-coding RNA, 892 nt
Filed under: Marmota monax (woodchuck)
Lineage: Eukaryota; Metazoa; Chordata; Mammalia; Rodentia; Sciuridae
Source: RNAcentral